GAACUACAAUUCAAGACGCGAUUUGGGUGGGGACAUAGCAAACCGUAUCAGGCAUGAAGCCAGAAUAUACUACUGGGACAUCUGUGGGUAUGUAUCCACAUCUGCAGAUCUGUGGAUAACCCAGGGCCUCAUGUUUCUGCAGUCAUAUCUGGGAAAGAAAGACAAGGCAUGGUGAGGAGCUGAAACCAAGACUACCACAUGAAAUUGAAUCCUUCAAGUGAUUUUUAUCCCCAGUGAAAAGGUCAAGAGGAAAAAUCAAAAACAAAAAAAUCUGAUCUCUGCGUGAAUUGAAAAAAAAGGAAUUCAUUACUUAAGGUCUGUGCUCCAAGCUGGAAGGGACAGUUAUUCAGCAGAUGGACAUUAAAAGAGGAAGGAUCAAAGGGUGACAUCAUUGGAACUCAAGGUCUAGUAAUGGAGAGCCAGGUGGACACCAGAAGGAUAAAAUUAAUACGAUAUUUUACUGCUACCAACAGGCAAGAAGACCAGAGCAAACACAGCUACAUAUGCAGAAACCCUCUAUCAGCUGGCAGUAAUUUGCCUGGAUUAGCCCAAAUGGCUUGCUUAAAUCCAUCUCAUAUAAUAUUACCAUGCAGAUUCAUGGUCAUCCUUGUACCAAAUCAAUGUGCUAAGCUUUAAAAUGAGCUGUGAAUCACAUGUCUAAGGUAUUUAGGCAGUACUGCUCAGUACAUUCUUUAUAGGUAAUGAAGAACUAAUUUUAGCUUUAUAUAAUUUCUUGGGCUUCAUUUUAAAUAUAAAAUAUUAAAUUUGGCCAGGCGUGGUGGCUCACGCCUGUAAUCCCAGCACUUUGGGAGGUUGAGGUGGGCGGAUUACCUGAGGUCAGAAGUUCAAGACCAGCCUAUCCAACAUGGUGAAACCUCGUCUCUACUAAAAUACAAAAAUUAGUCAGACAUGGUGGUCUGUAAUGUAAUUAGUCAGACAUGGUGGUCUGUAAUGUAAUUAGUCAGACAUGGUGUAAUGUAAUUAGUCAGACAUGGUGGGACGCCUGUAAUCCCAGCUUACUUGGGAGGCUGAGGCAGGAGAAUUGCUUGAACCCGGGAGGCAGAAUUUGCAGUGAGCUGAGUUCGUGCCAUUGCAUUCCAGUCUGAGUGACAAGAGUGAAACUCUGUCACACACACACACACACAAACAAAUUAAAUUUAUUAAAAGCACACACUAUAGAACAAUUAAAGGCACUAGCCUAAGUGCUUUGAAUGUAUGAUGUCACUUAACAUUCACAAUAGUCUUACAUGGUGGGUACUAAUGUUAUGUCCAUUUUGAAGAUAACGGAUAAAAAUUACUGAGACGUUACAUAAGUUUUUAAGGUGGUCCAGCUAAAAAACUGUAACAUUGAAACUGGGUUGUUUUACUCUGGAAUAUCUGAAACCAUGCUUGGAGGAUUUGGAUUGGUAUUGUAGUUCAAAUAACUUUGCAUAAAAUUUGUCUUAUUUGCAGGUAGUAAGUUUUGCUUCUUAUUGAUCAUUAUUUACAAAUCUCAUCAAAGUUAUAUUUGGCCCAAGUAAAGUAGACUGUUUUCUUGCUCUUUAGAUGAUUUUUCCCCGUUUACUCUAGAAUAAGAUCAAUAUUAUCCUGCUGGAUUUAAGUUCAUACUAUUGUGAUUCUAAGGAUAUACUAAACUACUCAGCAAAGUUCACCAAAUCACUUCAUUUUUGAAGAAUAAGAGUUAAAGAAAUCUGUACAUGUGUGCUAUAGUUUGCCUGUGUCCCCACCCAAAUCUCAUCUUGAAUUGUAGCUCCCAUUAAUUCCCAUGUAUUGUGGGAGGGACCUGGUGGGAGAUAAUUGAAUCAUGGGGGCAGUUUCCCCUAUACUGUUCUUGUGGUAGUGAAUAAAUCUCAUGAGAUCUGAUGGUUUUAUAAGGGGUUUCCCCUUAUGUGUGGCUCUCAUUCUCUCUUGCCUGCCACCAUGUAAGACGUCCCUUGCUCUCCUGCCAUGAUUGUGAGGUCUCCCUAGCCACGUGGAACUGUGAGUCCAUUAAACCUCUUUUUCUUUAUAAAUUACCCAGUCUUGGGUAUGUCUUUAUGAGCAGCAUGAAAAC
RNAcentral lists this long non-coding RNA (2053 nucleotides) under Homo sapiens (human). Its description in RNAcentral is "HSALNT0076969". The record is from RNAcentral. Lineage: Eukaryota; Metazoa; Chordata; Mammalia; Primates; Hominidae.